This 821-nucleotide ribosomal RNA is filed under the name uncultured crenarchaeote. Its description in RNAcentral is "bacterial SSU rRNA". It matches the Rfam family "Archaeal small subunit ribosomal RNA", at positions 54 to 881 of the family's 1478-position model. The record is from RNAcentral. Lineage: Archaea; Thermoproteati; Thermoproteota.
CGAGUCAUUGUAGCAAUACAAGGCAGACGGCUCAGUAACGCGUAGUCAAUCUACCCUAUGGACGGGAAUAAUCUCGGGAAACUGAGAAUAAUGCCCGAUAGAACAUUAUGCCUGGAAUGGUUUAUGUUUCAAAUGAUUUAUCGCCAUAGGAUGGGACUGCGGCCUAUCAGUUUGUUGGUGAGGUAAUGGCCCACCAAGACUAUUACAGGUACGGGCUCUGAGAGGAGUGGCCCGGAGAUGGGUACUGAGACACGGACCCAGGCCCUAUGGGGCGCAGCAGGCGAGAAAACUUUGCAAUGUGCGAAAGCACGACAAGGUUAAUCCGAGUGGUUUCUGCUAAAGAAACCUUUUGUCAGUCCUAGAAACACUAACGAAUAAGGGGUGGGCAAGUUCUGGUGUCAGCCGCCGCGGUAAAACCAGCACCUCAAGUGGUCAGGAUGAUUAUUGGGCCUAAAGCAUCCGUAGCUCGUUUUGUAAGUUUUCGGUUAAAUCCAUGCGCUUAACGUAUGGGCUGCCGGGAAUACUGCAUAACUAGGAAGUGGGAGAGGUAGACGGUACUCGGUAGGAAGGGGUAAAAUCCUUUGAUCUAUUGAUGACCACCUGUGGCGAAGGCGGUCUACCAGAACACGUUCGACGGUGAGGGAUGAAAGCUGGGGGAGCAAACCGGAUUAGAUACCCGGGUAGUCCCAGCUGUAAACUAUGCAGACUCGGUGAUGGACUAGCUUAAUGCUAGUCCAGUGCCGCAGGGAAGCCGUUAAGUCUGCCGCCUGGGUAGUACGGUCGCAAGACUGAAACUUAAAGGAGUUGGCGGGGGAGCACCA